UCUGAUCAUAUCAGAUAAGAAUCCCCACAAUCUCUCCUACUGUUGGUGCCAACACUGGAUAAGCACAGUGAGAUUGGUGCCCCACAGUCCAAGUUGAUCAAGGGAUCAGAGUCCUCAUCUCAUGGGACUCUAUCCUUAUCCACUUGGGGCGCACGCCAUAUCUGGUUAUGGCACCCACUUUGAGGGUAAAAUUAGCAGGUGGACACUCCAUAAAA
This 215-nucleotide long non-coding RNA is filed under the name Elaeis guineensis (African oil palm). RNAcentral's name for it is "long non-coding RNA (EGUI_LNC046495)". Lineage: Eukaryota; Viridiplantae; Streptophyta; Magnoliopsida; Arecales; Arecaceae. The record is from RNAcentral.